CCCGGUACGCCGGGACGAAAUGUGGCCGCCUCCGGCGGCUGAAUCGCAAG
Molecule: non-coding RNA, 50 nt
Filed under: unclassified sequences
Description: eL15-Euryarchaeota ribosomal protein leader
Rfam family: eL15-Euryarchaeota ribosomal protein leader
Source: RNAcentral